AUACGGGGGGUGCAAGCGUUAUUCGGAUUUAUUGGGCGUAAAGAGCGCGUAGGCGGCUUGGUAAGUCAGAUGUGAAAGCCCGGGGCUCAACCCCGGAAGUGCAUUUGAAACUAGCAGGCUUGAGUAUGGGAGAGGGAAGUGGAAUUCCUGGUGUAGAGGUGAAAUUCGUAGAUAUCAGGAGGAACACCGGUGGCGAAGGCGACUUCCUGGACCAAUACUGACGCUGAGGCGCGAAGGCGUGGGGAGCAAACAGGAUUAGAAACCCCAGUAGUCC
Molecule: ribosomal RNA, 274 nt
Filed under: uncultured bacterium
Lineage: Bacteria
Description: partial 16S ribosomal RNA
Rfam family: Bacterial small subunit ribosomal RNA
Source: RNAcentral